RNAcentral lists this ribosomal RNA (497 nucleotides) under uncultured bacterium. RNAcentral describes it as "partial 16S ribosomal RNA". It matches the Rfam family "Bacterial small subunit ribosomal RNA", at positions 28 to 507 of the family's 1533-position model. The record is from RNAcentral.
GAUGAACGCUGGCGGCGUGCCUAAUACAUGCAAGUCGAGCGAACAGACGAGGAGCUUGCUCCUCUGACGUUAGCGGCGGACGGGUGAGUAACACGUGGAUAACCUACCUAUAAGACUGGGAUAACUUCGGGAAACCGGAGCUAAUACCGGAUAAUAUAUUGAACCGCAUGGUUCAAUAGUGAAAGACGGUUUUGCUGUCACUUAUAGAUGGAUCCGCGCCGCAUUAGCUAGUUGGUAAGGUAACGGCUUACCAAGGCAACGAUGCGUAGCCGACCUGAGAGGGUGAUCGCACACACUGGAACUGAGACACGGUCCAGACUCCUACGGGAGGAAGCAGUAGGGAAUCUUCCGCAAUGGGCGAAAGCCUGACGGAGCAACGCCGCGUGAGUGAUGAAGGUCUUCGGAUCGUAAAACUCUGUUAUUAGGGAAGAACAAAUGUGUAAGUAACUAUGAACGUAUUGACGGUACCUAAUCAGAAAGCCACGGCUAACUACGUG